RNAcentral lists this ribosomal RNA (433 nucleotides) under uncultured bacterium. RNAcentral describes it as "partial 16S ribosomal RNA". It matches the Rfam family "Bacterial small subunit ribosomal RNA", at positions 29 to 507 of the family's 1533-position model. The record is from RNAcentral.
AACGAACGCUGGCGGCAGGCCUAACACAUGCAAGUCGAGCGAGCAUUUCGGUGCUAGCGGCGGACGGGUGAGUAACGCGUGGGAACGUGCCCUUUUCUGCGGAAUAGUCCUGGGAAACUGGGGGUAAUACCGCAUACGCCCUUUUGGGGAAAGAUUUAUCGGAGAAGGAUCGGCCCGCGUUGGAUUAGGUAGUUGGUGGGGUAAUGGCCCACCAAGCCGACGAUCCAUAGCUGGUUUGAGAGGAUGAUCGGCCACACUGGGACUGAGACACGGCCCAGACUCCUACGGGAGGCAGCAGUGGGGAAUCUUAGACAAUGGGGGCAACCCUGAUCUAGCCAUGCCGCGUGAGUGAUGAAGGCCUUAGGGUUGUAAAGCUCUUUCAGCUGGGAAGAUAAUGACGGUACCAGCAGAAGAAGCCCCGGCUAACUCCGUG